UGAGCAAUCUGCCCUUCUCUUCGGAAUAAGCGUGGGAAACCGCGUCUAAUGCCGAAUACGACCUCCUUUCGCAUGAUCGGAGGUGGAAAGCUCCGGCGGAGAAGGAUGAGCUCGCGGCCUAUCAGCUAGUUGGCGUGGGUAGUGGCCCACCAAGGCGACGACGGGUAGCCGGCCUGGGAGGGUGACCGGCCACACGUGGGACUGAGACACGGCCCAGACCUCCGUACGGGAGCAGCAGG
This 239-nucleotide ribosomal RNA is filed under the name uncultured bacterium. Its description in RNAcentral is "partial 16S ribosomal RNA". It matches the Rfam family "Bacterial small subunit ribosomal RNA", at positions 118 to 354 of the family's 1533-position model. The record is from RNAcentral.